AUCUAGCUGCGACAUCUGUCACCCCAUUAAUCGCCAGGGUUGAUUCGGCUGAUCUGGCUUUAGCUUUAUAUGUGCUUUU
This 79-nucleotide small nuclear RNA is filed under the name Anolis carolinensis (green anole). RNAcentral describes it as "7SK RNA". It matches the Rfam family "7SK RNA", at positions 14 to 92 of the family's 331-position model. From Rfam's summary of the family: 7SK was discovered as an abundant small nuclear RNA in the mid-70s but a possible function has only recently been suggested. Two independent studies have found that 7SK RNA binds the CDK9/cyclin T complex (known as elongation factor P-TEFb). The record is from Rfam by way of RNAcentral. Lineage: Eukaryota; Metazoa; Chordata; Lepidosauria; Squamata; Anolidae.